CUUCACUGCGCAACAUGGAUGCACGGGGCCGACACAGCGCCUGUAGACACCUCUUCCAAACUCACAUGCGUUGAGGGAGCUUACCAUCCACUGCACCGUGGCGUUCGCUUGUCUCACAUCCGCAAGUGUUACUUCAUUUACUGUUGAAGGGCGCAUCUUCUCUCCGCUUCCGCACGUUUAUUUCUUUUUUUUUUCCGCUGCACCGCCAUGCCAUCCUCGUACGUGUGCGUUCUCCACUCCAGCAAUGGCUACUACACGGACGAUUUAGUCGGCAACGCGCUGCGUUGUGUGCAUGCGCUGCAGUGCAGCUUGCGCGCCGGCGCACCUGACUUCAUUCCAUCCAUUGCCGUCUUCUUUGCGGACCCGCACAGAGGCGUCAAAUGCGUGUACUCUUCGGCGGUGCCAGACCGCAACCAUGCCUUGGAUCGAGUGGGGGCUACCUACCCCGUCUUGUCAGAUGCGACAGGGUCGGUGUUCUCACCCGAUGAGGACGGUGGGGGCGGGUGGAGGGGGGGUGACACCGCAGAGAGGACCGUCGCCUUUGCGCAGCUUUUUCGUUUGCGCUCUCCGCAAAUUCUUCAGCAGGCGAUACUGAGUGCAGUACAGGAACACAACAGCACCGUGCCAACCGCUGGUGCAAAGGCGGACGCAUCAUCCGUGAAGGGGUUCAGUGAGACUUCCCCUGCACCCUCGGCAUCUGCGUCGCCGUCUUCCGAUGCCACGAGCAUGUGGAGCUCUCUGGCGGGGGCACUACUGGCCUCGCUCUGCUAUCUGCGCGCGCACCCCAGCAGCGCUUUUCGGGCGGCGGAUAGGGAUGAGGCAGACGGCGAGGCCGGAGAGGCACCUGGCGAAGCGGCUGCUGGGGACUCCUCCAGCAGCGAUGCCGUGAAUUCUGCACCUCCGCCGCGCAGUGCUGGAAGCGUUCUUGUGUUCAGCGACGCGAAGGCAGCUGCCGUGCCGCCGUACAGUGCGGAGUGCGCUCUCGCCAUGACAGCUGUGACAGCGAGCAAGAUGGGCGUGACUGUGUCGUGCUUCGGUGAAGCCGUGCUGCACACCGACUCGACAGAGAACCGCCUCGUGGCGCUAGCCUCCAGCCUCGGUGGCUUCUGCGCUGGCCGGUUCAGCUUGCAUGACCUCGGCCACCUGCUGGAUGGUGCGAGUGCUGCCGUCUCGCUCAUCGGCAACCGGCCCCGUCAGAGGCGGGACCGUAUUGCUUCCCAGUACGUCGUGGGGCCUACUAUGCUGCCGCAGACGCCUCUGCGAAAACGUCGCGCGGUGGAUGCUGCUUUGGCAGAGAGCUCAACGGCGGAUUUCGAGAAAGCGACGACGGAAAAAGCUGAUACCGCCGUUUCCUUUGGCGCGAAGGACGACGAGCACGCCUCCUACCUGGGCUGGUUGUGCCCUUCAUGCAUGGCGGUUAUUUAUCGUCCCUCAACAGAGGUCGCCGGUGCCACGACCUCGGAUUCCCGCACCGAGGACGGCGGCGGCAGCGGUACGGACCAGGGGAUGGGUCCCAGGUGUCCCUAUUGUAGCAAGGUGUGAGCAUAGCGGAAAAGGAGGUGACCACACUCCAGCUCUUCUCUUGCAGCUCGUACGUGCACUGUUUUUUGUUUUUUCUUGGCGACACUUGCGCGACUUGCGGUGCCGGGCACAUGGGCAGCUAUGCAACCCGAGCGAUGCCUUUUGAGGAUGGCCUGGUUCUGCUUUUCGUUGUUCUGCUCAUGCUCGUGUGAGCCUCGACAUCUUUUUGUUUUCACUGUUUGCCUCGUUUGAGCAGGCAGGCGCACAUGCACAUGUGCUCGCAGCCACGUGUGUGAGUAUGUGUGCGCGUGUGUGGCAAGACACUAAGGCGAGGUGCGGAGCGGUUCCACUGGAAGUGAGGACGAGAGCACGUUUGGUAGCGGAGUUGCACCCUCGCUCGAGGCAUCGGGAGCUGGUCUUCCUUGCGCCUGCUUCCAUCUUCAAUAGAGAGCGGAAGCUUGUGUUGGCAGAGGGCGGAAGGGGCGCCAUCGAAAC
This 2016-nucleotide unclassified non-coding RNA is filed under the name Leishmania donovani. RNAcentral describes it as "gene:LdHU3.32.3810(CDS-product:hypothetical_prote in_conserved)". Lineage: Eukaryota; Euglenozoa; Kinetoplastea; Trypanosomatida; Trypanosomatidae. The record is from RNAcentral.